UACGAAGGGGGCUAGCGUUGCUCGGAAUCACUGGGCGUAAAGCGCACGUAGGCGGACUCUUAAGUCAGGGGUGAAAUCCUGGAGCUCAACUCCAGAACUGCCUUUGAUACUGGGAGCCUUGAGUUCGGGAGAGGUGAGUGGAACUGCGAGUGUAGAGGUGAAAUUCGUAGAUAUUCGCAAGAACACCAGUGGCGAAGGCGGCUCACUGGCCCGAUACUGACGCUGAGGUGCGAAAGCGUGGGGAGCGAACGGG
Molecule: ribosomal RNA, 253 nt
Filed under: uncultured bacterium
Lineage: Bacteria
Description: partial 16S ribosomal RNA
Rfam family: Bacterial small subunit ribosomal RNA
Source: RNAcentral